AUGUGUUCGAGGAAAUUCCCCAAAUGUAUAAAAUUUCGCAAACUAUUUUGUUGUUGUUAUUUUUUUGAAUGCAUACAUAUAGAUAGCUUAUUUGCACUGUUCUAUAUACUUUGUACUGUCAGCGAUGAGGCAUACAUGUCAACUAUGGGUGUUGGCUCCAACAAUUCGCAUUGGUCUAAAACCAAUGACAUUCAUUUCGGGGACCAUGAGUUCGAGGUGGACAAGGAUGGUGAGGGCAAUGUGGAUGCACCAGAAGGAAGAGGAGGCAACUACACCAACAAAGAAGACGUCUUGCUAUGCAAAACUUGGUUGGAAGUGUCGAGGGAUCCAUCCGUUGGAGGUGAUCAAAGUAUAGAUGCUUAUUGGAAUGGAUGA
Molecule: ribosomal RNA, 375 nt
Filed under: Triticum aestivum (bread wheat)
Lineage: Eukaryota; Viridiplantae; Streptophyta; Magnoliopsida; Poales; Poaceae
Description: partial small subunit ribosomal RNA
Source: RNAcentral